Molecule: ribosomal RNA, 890 nt
Filed under: Bacillus subtilis
Lineage: Bacteria; Bacillati; Bacillota; Bacilli; Caryophanales; Bacillaceae
Description: bacterial SSU rRNA
Rfam family: Bacterial small subunit ribosomal RNA
Source: RNAcentral
AGAGUUUUGAUAUAUGGCUCAGGACGAACGCUGGCGGCGUGCCUAAUACAUGCAAGUCGAGCGGACAGAUGGGAGCUUGCUCCCUGAUGUUAGCGGCGGACGGGUGAGUAACACGUGGGUAACCUGCCUGUAAGACUGGGAUAACUCCGGGAAACCGGGGCUAAUACCGGAUGGUUGUUUGAACCGCAUGGUUCAAACAUAAAAGGUGGCUUCGGCUACCACUUACAGAUGGACCCGCGGCGCAUUAGCUAGUUGGUGAGGUAACGGCUCACCAAGGCAACGAUGCGUAGCCGACCUGAGAGGGUGAUCGGCCACACUGGGACUGAGACACGGCCCAGACUCCUACGGGAGGCAGCAGUAGGGAAUCUUCCGCAAUGGACGAAAGUCUGACGGAGCAACGCCGCGUGAGUGAUGAAGGUUUUCGGAUCGUAAAGCUCUGUUGUUAGGGAAGAACAAGUACCGUUCGAAUAGGGCGGUACCUUGACGGUACCUAACCAGAAAGCCACGGCUAACUACGUGCCAGCAGCCGCGGUAAUACGUAGGUGGCAAGCGUUGUCCGGAAUUAUUGGGCGUAAAGGGCUCGCAGGCGGUUUCUUAAGUCUGAUGUGAAAGCCCCCGGCUCAACCGGGGAGGGUCAUUGGAAACUGGGGAACUUGAGUGCAGAAGAGGAGAGUGGAAUUCCACGUGUAGCGGUGAAAUGCGUAGAGAUGUGGAGGAACACCAGUGGCGAAGGCGACUCUCUGGUCUGUAACUGACGCUGAGGAGCGAAAGCGUGGGGAGCGAACAGGAUUAGAUACCCUGGUAGUCCACGCCGUAAACGAUGAGUGCUAAGUGUUAGGGGGUUUCCGCCCCUUAGUGCUGCAGCUAACGCAUUAAGCACUCCGCCUGGG